This 618-nucleotide ribosomal RNA is filed under the name uncultured Candidatus Poseidoniales archaeon. RNAcentral describes it as "bacterial SSU rRNA". It matches the Rfam family "Archaeal small subunit ribosomal RNA", at positions 303 to 923 of the family's 1478-position model. Lineage: Archaea; Methanobacteriati; Thermoplasmatota; Candidatus Poseidoniia; Candidatus Poseidoniales. The record is from RNAcentral.
CUGAGACACGAAUCCAGACCCUACGGGUGCAGCAGGCGCGAAAACUUGGCAAUGCGAGCAAUCGUGACCAGGGAACUCCAAGUGGCUGGGGUAAUACCCAGUUUUUUCUUGACUCUUCAAAGGUCUUGGAAUAAGGGGUGGGUAAGGACGGUGCCAGCCGCCGCGGUAAUACCGGCGCCUCAAGUGGUAGUCGCUUUUAUUGGGCCUAAAACGUCCGUAGCCGGUCUGGUGCAUUCGUGGGUAAAUCAACCCGCUCAACGGGUUGAAUUCUGCGAGCACGGCCAGACUUGGGACCGGGAGAGGUGUGGGGUACUCUCAGGGUAGGGGUAAAAUCCUGUCAUCCUGAGAGGACCACCUGUUGCGAAGGCGCCACACUAGAACGGAUUCGACGGUCAGGGACGAAACCUAGGGGCACGAACCGGAUUAGAUACCCGGGUAGUCCUAGGUGUAAACGCUGUGGACUUGAUGUUGGGGGUGCUCCGAGCACUCUCAGUGUCGAAGCGAAGGUGAUAAGUCCACUGCCUGGGGAGUACGGUCGCAAGGCUGAAACUUAAAGGAAUUGGCGGGGGAGCACUGCAACCUGAGGAUUGUGCGGUUUAAUUGGACUCAACGCCGGGA